GACGAACGCUGGCGGCGUGCUUAACACAUGCAAGUCGAACGGAAAGGCCCUGCUUUUGUGGUGUGCUCGAGUGGCGAACGGGUGAGUAACACAUGAGUAACCUGCCCUUGACUUUGGGAUAACUUCAGGAAACUGGGGCUAAUACCGGAUAGGAGCUCCUGCUGCAUGGUGGGGGUUGGAAAGUUUCGGCGGUUGGGGAUGGACUCGCGGCUUAUCAGCUUGUUGGUGGGGUAGUGGCUUACCAAGGCUUUGACGGGUAGCCGGCCUGAGAGGGUGACCGGCCACAUUGGGACUGAGAUACGGCCCAGACUCCUACGGGAGGCAGCAGUGGGGAAUAUUGCACAAUGGGCGGAAGCCUGAUGCAGCAACGCCGCGUGCGGGAUGACGGCCUUCGGGUUGUAAACCGCUUUCGCCUGUGACGAAGCGUGAGUGACGGUAAUGGGUAAAGAAGCACCGGCUAACUACGUG
Molecule: ribosomal RNA, 468 nt
Filed under: uncultured bacterium
Lineage: Bacteria
Description: partial 16S ribosomal RNA
Rfam family: Bacterial small subunit ribosomal RNA
Source: RNAcentral